AACGCACAUUGCGCCCCUUGGUAUUCCGAGGGGCAUGCCUGUUCGAGCGUCAUUAUAACCCUCAAGCCUAGCUUGGUGUUGGGGCCUGUCAUUACUGACAGCCCUUAAAAUCAGUGGCGGUGCCAUCUGGCUCUAAGCGUAGUAAUUUCUCUCGCUAUAGGGUCCUGGUGGAUACUUGCCAACAACCCCCAAUUUUCUAUGGUUGACCUCGGAUCAGGUAGGGAUACCCGCUGAACUUAA
This 240-nucleotide unclassified non-coding RNA is filed under the name uncultured fungus. Its description in RNAcentral is "sequence contains ITS2". The stretch from base 1 to 52 matches the Rfam family "5.8S ribosomal RNA", at positions 103 to 154 of the family's 154-position model. The record is from RNAcentral. Lineage: Eukaryota; Fungi.